Electrophorus electricus (electric eel) is the source of this 679-nucleotide long non-coding RNA. Lineage: Eukaryota; Metazoa; Chordata; Actinopteri; Gymnotiformes; Gymnotidae. The record is from Ensembl.
UGUUCUUUUGCAUUCAUUUUCUGUGCUUGUCUUUCUGUUUAGGCAGGUUUUAGAACUGAAGAAGGAGAACACUGAACUCAAGAAGCCACUUUCCCAGAGGAGGCCAUCACCUGGGAAAUGUAAUGCCAAUAGGUAAUUCUUAUUGUAUAUGCAUACAGUGUUGCAGUAUACUCCCAGUAUAUAUUAACAUCACUUGUAUAAUUAUAUAGUGUGCCUAACAUUUAUGCUGUUAAGAACACAUGCAACAGAAUAUUUCUUUGGUUAUUUGGUAAUGUGUAGCGCGAUUCCAAGGAUGACUCUGCCAGUGGCUGUCACAUCACCAGGUACUUAGAGGCACAAAGGUCUGAUGUGCAUUGCUUUGGCCAAAGAAAUGUAAGGAGAAAUGGCAUUGAUGGGUGAAACAGCAUUAAUAUUUAGGACAAAGAGAAUUGAUGGGAGAAACGGCAUUGAAAUGGCAUUAAUGUUUAGGAGAAACGGCAUUACUUUGUGUUAUUAGCUCUCUUUUCCUUUCCCAGUCACUCCUCGCUCCAGGGCUGUAAGUCUUUCAUACUCUGCUGAUACUAUGGAGAGGUUUCGACAAUCCCGAUCCAGCUUGAUGACUCCACCAGGUUCAGCCACCCCAGUGUCAUCCGCAGGGUCGUUGCACGAACAUGGAUUUAGGACACCCAGCUCUGUUAAC